UGGAAGUGUUUUUUAAGGAACUUGUUUUU
RNAcentral lists this non-coding RNA (29 nucleotides) under Rattus norvegicus (Norway rat). The record is from RNAcentral. Lineage: Eukaryota; Metazoa; Chordata; Mammalia; Rodentia; Muridae.